RNAcentral lists this transfer RNA (72 nucleotides) under Bos taurus (domestic cattle). It matches the Rfam family "tRNA". Rfam says of the family: Transfer RNA (tRNA) molecules are approximately 80 nucleotides in length. Their secondary structure includes four short double-helical elements and three loops (D, anti-codon, and T loops). Lineage: Eukaryota; Metazoa; Chordata; Mammalia; Artiodactyla; Bovidae. The record is from Rfam by way of RNAcentral. RNAcentral also lists the same sequence under 4 other names.
UCCCAGGUGGCUCAGAUGGUAAAGAAUCUGCCUACAAAGCAGGAGACCUGGGUUUGAUUCCUGAGUUGGGAA